Molecule: ribosomal RNA, 401 nt
Filed under: Atylostoma towadensis
Lineage: Eukaryota; Metazoa; Arthropoda; Insecta; Diptera; Tachinidae
Description: partial 16S rRNA
Source: RNAcentral
GGCCGCAGUAUUUUAACUGUGCAAAGGUAGCAUAAUAAUUAGUCUUUUAAUUGAAGGCUGGUAUGAAUGGUUGGACGAAAUAUUAACUGUUUCAUAUAAAUUUAUAUUAAAAUUUUAUUUUUUAGUUAAAAAGCUAAAAUUUAUUUAAAAGACGAGAAGACCCUAUAAAUCUUUAUAUUAAAAAUUUUUAUAUAUUUUUAGGAUUUUUUAUUUAUAAAAAUUUUUAAUAUUUUAUUGGGGUGAUAUUAAAAUUUAAAUAACUUUUAAUUUUUUAUUACAUUAAUUUAUGAAUUUUUGAUCCAUUAAUAAUGAUUAAUAGACUAAGUUACUUUAGGGAUAACAGCGUAAUUUUUUUGGAGAGUUCAUAUUAAUAAAAAAGUUUGCGACCUCGAUGUUGGAUU